GAUAUAAAAGACUUCUGAAUAAAUUUCCAUCAGGCAGAAGGAACUGCUCUUAGCUGUGAGACCACGCAGCCCUAUUUGGAAAGCUUUUUCUGGUGGAAAGAGGAACUAUCUUAGCCGGCUCUCUAGCAGAUCCUCUGCCUCCCGUGUUCCGUAUGAAGGAAGCCAUGUAUUAAAUUGGGAUGAGCCCUUGCAUUUCAUCAGAGAAAAAAUCUCAGCUGCAGGAGAGAAACAGGAUCAUCACAGAACUGUAAACCCAAAGGGAUGAGUGUUCCUAGCCUGAAGUGUUUGAAGAAAUGGUCACACUUAGAAGCAAGGCUGAGGGGCAAAUGCUCUCGUAUUCCUCAGAACUGGAUGCCGCCACGCUGCUGGAGGCAGCAACCGUGCACGGAAACAUUUAUACCAGCUUGAUAAUAGCCACAUGAGCCUUAAGUAGACAGUGUCCACUUUAAUGCACAUUAGCAACACUUGCCAAUUCUUCCUAUUUUAAUUUGUUAAUUUUCUCAAUCUUUGUUGGAUUUUCUAGAGGCCUGAAGAGGUGGAAUGUACAGAUAUAGAAGCUACAGGUGGAUUUAAUGAUUUAUGAAGAAGAGUACAUGUGCUUACCCAUACAUGUGCAUGCUAAAUGUGCACACAGAGACACACACAUGCUCACACACA
Non-coding RNA from Peromyscus maniculatus bairdii (prairie deer mouse), 657 nucleotides. NCBI's taxonomy places the organism in Eukaryota, Metazoa, Chordata, Mammalia, Rodentia, Cricetidae. The record is from RefSeq and is a predicted model, not a curated record.